CACUUCGCUGACGAGUGGCGGACGGGUGAGUAAUGCUUGGGAACUUGCCUUUAGGUGGGGGAUAACAGUUGGAAACGACUGCUAAUACCGCAUAAUGUCUACGGACCAAAGGGGGCUUCGGCUCCCGCCUUGAGAGAGGCCCAAGUGAGAUUAGCUAGUUGGUGGGGUAAAGGCCUACCAAGGCAACGAUCUCUAGCUGUUCUGAGAGGAAGAUCAGCCACACUGGGACUGAGACACGGCCCAGACUCCUACGGGAGGCAGCAGUGGGGAAUAUUGCACAAUGGGGGAAACCCUGAUGCAGCCAUGCCGCGUGUGUGAAGAAGGCCUUCGGGUUGUAAAGCACUUUCAGUUGUGAGGAAAGGUUGGUAGUUAAUACCUGCCAGCUGUGACGUUAACAACAGAAGAAGCACCGGCUAACUCCGUGCCAGCAGCCGCGGUAAUACGGAGGGUGCGAGCGUUAAUCGGAAUUACUGGGCGUAAAGCGCACGCAGGCGGCUUGUUAAGCUAGAGGUGAAAGCCCCGCGCUCAACGUGGGAACUGCCUUUAGAACUGGCAGGCUAGAGUCUUGGAGAGGGGAGUGGAAUUCCAGGUGUAGCGGU
This 599-nucleotide ribosomal RNA is filed under the name Marisediminitalea aggregata. RNAcentral describes it as "bacterial SSU rRNA". It matches the Rfam family "Bacterial small subunit ribosomal RNA", at positions 81 to 682 of the family's 1533-position model. The record is from RNAcentral. Lineage: Bacteria; Pseudomonadati; Pseudomonadota; Gammaproteobacteria; Alteromonadales; Alteromonadaceae.